GUUUUGCUUGAAGGAAUUCGUAGACAGGAGGAGGGAUUCCUCUGUGAAUCAACUGAGUGGUGGACUCCAAAGCGCUCGCUCUCGGUCGCUCGGAGGAGGGGUGGCAGAAACUGCGAUGGAUGUGAGAAUUUUUUCUUGAAUCUUAUGAGAUCAAUCUAGUUCGAUAACACAUCGAAGGCCUUAAAAGAGAAGGAAAAGGAGCAACGGUGCCCGAGCCAGAGUCAAGAGUCGACUGCAGCUAUGAUAUGAAGGAUGCGGAAAAACCUUUAUUGAUGUUGGUGUUUUGAGAAAGCGUUCUCAUAUCCAUGACAUCUUUUAGCAGGGGUUUGACUUAAAUGAAGUUGUGUUUUAGAUGAUGCAGAGCAUCUUGUGGCUAUUUUUUUAGAUCUCCCAUUUUCUCUUUUCGAUUUAUUUGUUUUUAAUGUCGGUGAAAGACCUAUUGAGUUGUAAUCCUUGUUGAUCUUGAAAUACAAAAGUUACCGUAUUAGUUUCU
Molecule: long non-coding RNA, 493 nt
Organism: Syzygium oleosum
Lineage: Eukaryota; Viridiplantae; Streptophyta; Magnoliopsida; Myrtales; Myrtaceae
Exons: 2
Source: RefSeq, a predicted model, not a curated record